UGUUAUUUUGUUUCUUACCAGAGUCUACAACUUCAAAGCCUCAAAAUUUUGAUGAUGAUUCUUACACGGAGGAGCCUUGUGAUACCACAAACAUAAAUGUGGAUUGUGAAGAAUGCUAAUUGAAGUAUGUAGUUUGCACUUAGCAGGAUCUUGCCAAUGCAGGAACUAUCAAAAGACCAACAUGCUAUAGCCUGUGUGUUGUUGCUAACAAAGCCUACAAAGGGACAACUUGGGCAAGAGGAGGCGAGGAGCGAUGAUGGACUUCUGAUGGUUUAUUAUUUAUUAAGUAAUUAUAAAUAUCAGUAG
Tripterygium wilfordii is the source of this 306-nucleotide long non-coding RNA. RefSeq lists it as uncharacterized. The transcript has 3 exons. The record is from RefSeq and is a predicted model, not a curated record. NCBI's taxonomy places the organism in Eukaryota, Viridiplantae, Streptophyta, Magnoliopsida, Celastrales, Celastraceae.